This is a long non-coding RNA of Python bivittatus (Burmese python), 751 nucleotides long. RefSeq lists it as uncharacterized. Lineage: Eukaryota; Metazoa; Chordata; Lepidosauria; Squamata; Pythonidae. The record is from RefSeq and is a predicted model, not a curated record.
UUGCCUUGGCUGUAUUCUCCCUGCUCCCCCUGUACCACACACACAUUCUUAGUCUCUCUGUGUAUUAGCAUUUCAGGGCUGAAAGCUCUUUCCUGCUCAAAACAGUAUCAACACACAUAAUCUAGCCCAAAUGUGUCAUCUGGUUUUAAGGAAACAUUUCCCAAACAGCUUUUAGUUUCUCAGUGUAAUUAAACUGCUGAGCUGCUCAGGGAGUUGGAAAGGAUUACUCACUGUUAAUCCACAGCUUUUUGCCUGGUUUUUAUUUUGGAUAAGAGAGACCUUUCUCCACUGGACUUCCUUCAGUGCAAUUCCAGUUUAAGACCAUUGCCCUCUUCUGGCAGAAGAUCGUCCUUCACAAAGGAGAUAGCCAGAUACGAUCUUACUGUAACACGAAGCACAGAGAAAAUGUUACUUGUGGACUGUUAGUGGAGCACGUGGGCUUAACGCAAGAGAAAUGAAUUGCAAGGGCAGGCAGAUCCCAAUGAUGGGUGAGAGAAAACUAUUUAUCUAGUAAAGAUGGCUGUUUGGGAAGUGUUGGAGAAUUUUCAGACUUCAUACAAUCAGAAAACCCUUUCCAUAUUUACUUGUCUUCAAGAAAAUUCUACAUGCUUAUCUGCCUGUUAAAGAAAAUUUGUGGGUGGAUGGUGAAUUGUCAAUUCAAGCAGCAGCUCAAUGUUGCUUCUAUGUUAUGAUAAAAUACAUCUUAGAACAUAAAUGACAAUUUCUUGCAACUAUGCAUUGCAGAUUGAUU